GGGCAUGCCUGUAAUCCUAGCAGCUUGGGAGGCUGAGGCAGGAGGAUCUCAGGUUUAAAGCCAGCCUCAGCAACUUAGCGAGGCCCUGAGCAAUUUAGCAAGACCUUAUCUUGAAUUAAAAUGUAAAAAAUGGUUUGGGGGAGGACUGGCGAUAUAGCUCAGUUGGUAGAGUGCUUGCCUCGCAUGCACAAGGCCCUGGGUUCAAUGCCCAGUACGCGGGGAAAAAAGUUUGGGGAUAUGGCUCAGUGGUACAGCACCCCUGGAUUCAAUCCUUGCUACCAAAAAAAGAAAAAAGAAAUGAGCAGACUAUCAAUAUAAACUCAAAGCAAGUGGAAGGAAGGUAAUAAUGAGCAGAAAGUGAUUACAUAGAAGACAAAAACACUAGCAUGGACCACAAGACAUAGCUGGGAAUUUGAAAAGACCAAUAAACACAGUGCAAAAGUGAUGUCCUUUUAGAUACAGAUGUCCUUUAAAUAGAGAUACAGCAGAAAUGACAAGAAUAUUAUAAGUUUUAUGCCAAUAAAUUUAUGUUAUUUAAAAAAAUUUGUAGUUGUAGAUGGACAUAAUGCCUUUAUUUUAUGUAUUUAUUUUUAUUUGGUGCUGAGGAUUGAAUCCAGUGCCUCACACAUGCUAGAUAAGUGCUCUACCACUCAGCCCCAGCCCCAGCCCCUUUAGCAUUUUUAGAAAAGCCAAAAAUCAGUACUCACCUAACUGUAUCUGUAAUACUAAUGGGAUUCAUUUAAAUAUCUUGCUGUGGUUUCCAUAACUACACUCUUCCAAUGAAAGGGAGAGCAAGGGUGAGCAAAGUUCCUUUAAAGUGUCAGACAGUAAAGAUUUUAGGCUUUGCAGGUCACCAGAUCUCUGAUUUUUGUUCAUUUGGUUUUGUUUUUUUGGCUUUGCUGAGGAUUGAACCCAGGGCCUCACAUCUGUGAGGCAAGCCCUCUACUACUGAGCUACACCCCAGCCUAAGCCUCUGGAUUUGCUGCUGCAUCCAAUAAAACCUUAUUUGCCAGGAGACAGACAUAUCCCGGGGUCUCAGUUUGCUCUUGGCCCAAAGCUGUGUGUCAAUGUAGACAAACUUCACAUUGUCACAGGACACUGAGUAGAAUCAGAGCCAUUAAGGGCAGCAGAAAGAACUGGGUCAGCCAUGGCCUUGGGGAAGUGGUUCCACCUGUCUUUCAUCAGGCAGCCCUGACCUGGCGCUGGAGCUGGGGAGGAGGGCUAAUCCCCUACACCCUAAGGUGUGCCCUCGUCCUUCUCACUUGACCUCAGCAGGCUGAUCCCUCCAGGCUCUGGUUUCCCUGCUCACUGGCCCCUGGGCUGCCCCAUCUAACUGAAUCCUGUGGUGUGUCCUGGCUUCCAUGUCUCUACUUGACUGCCUAACAGAAACCCUAAACUUGCCCUGCCCAGAACAAAUCCAUGAUUUUUCCCCAAAAGUGUUCUAGUUGUAAUCUUUUCUGUCUCUAUUUUUUAGGUCAAAAACCUCAGAAUCAUCCGUGACCCCUUCCUUUCCUUUCCCACUCCCACCUACCUCACAUCCAGUCCAUCCUCAAAUCCAGUGAUUCCACCUCCACCACUGCUAUCCAGGCCAGAGCCGCCACCUUCUCCUCUUGGGUGCCCCUGCUCUGGCCUUGCCUCCGUCAGUCUGGCCUGACUGAAAUGACAAGAGCAAUCCUUUGCCCGCAGGACAGGCUUAUACCAUCCCUGCACCCAACUCAUGCAGAGUAAAGCCAAGGGAUGGUGGGGGUGCACGAGGCCCACGGGAUCCAGCCCACAGCUCCCCUGGCCUCGUCUACUCAUCGAGCCUUCUUGGUUUCAGCCUGGAAUAUUCUUCCAAAAUCUCUGUGUGAUUCAUCCCUUCACUUUCUUCAGGUCUUGCAAGGGUCAACUGUGGUUUCAAGGAGAACUUCUCAAAUGGUCUAAUGUAAUUGCAGCCCCUCCCUCUCUCACUCCAUCUCCUACCUCCCUGCUCCUUACUGUUUUUUUUUGCCACAGCAGUUAUCACCUAAUAUGUUAUAAUCUUUUUUUUUUUUUUCCCAUGAUGCUGAGGAGGAACCCAGGGCCUGGCUUGCCAGGCCUAGGCCUUCAUAUAGAUGGAAUCAUGCAGUAGGUAUUCUUUUGUGUCCGAUUUCUUUAACUCAACAUAAAGUUUUUGAGGUUCAUUCACUUUAGGCUGAGUGCCGUGGCAUAGGCCUGUAAUUCCAGCUACUCAGGAGGCUGAGGCAGGAGGAUGGCAAGUUCCAGCCAACCUCAGCAAUUUAGUGAGAUCCUGUCUAAAAAAAAAAAAAAAAAAAAAAAGGGCUGGGGAUGAGGUAGCCCAGUGGUGGGAUAUCUCAGUAGUAGAGCAAAUCCUCCUCCUCCGCCACCACCAUCUCUGAGGCAGCGGAUCAUUUCCUCAACCUGCCCACGAGGUUCCUUCGUAUGGACGCACCAGAUUGUUUAUUCAGUCUUCCAUUGAUGGUUAACAGGGCUGAUUUCAGUUUGGGGCAACUGUGAACAAAGCUGCUGUGAACAUUUCCUGUGACAGUCAUCGUGUGAUAUAUUUCUUUUGUUUCACUUGGACAUACCUAGGAAUUUCUGGGUUGUCUGGCAGGAGUUUUACCAGCCAUUUUUCCAGAGCAUUUUCCCACUUUUGGCACCUGUCAACAAUAUAUGGGAAUUCUAGUUGCUUUGUAUCUUUGUCACUGUUAAGUGUUGUCAUUCAUUUUAUUUUAUCUAUUUUGUUGUGUAUAGUGGUAUCUCAUUGUGGUUUUAAAUUUAAUGUCAUGUUAUUUUUGAAAA
This 2781-nucleotide long non-coding RNA is filed under the name Marmota monax (woodchuck). The stretch from base 149 to 218 matches the Rfam family "tRNA". The record is from RNAcentral. Lineage: Eukaryota; Metazoa; Chordata; Mammalia; Rodentia; Sciuridae.